AGAUGACAUAUGAUGUUGAUGAUUCUCUAUGCUGUCAGGUCGUCACGGUGACAGGUAUAGAUGACAUAUGAUGUUGAUGAUUCUCUAUGCUGUCAGGUCGUCACGGUGACAGGUAUAGAUGACAUAUGAUGUUGAUGAUUCUCUAUGCUGUCAGGUCGUCACGGUGACAGGUAUAGAUGACAUAUGAUGUUGAUGAUUCUCUAUGCUGUCAGGUCGUCACGGUGACAGGUAUAGAUGACAUAUGAUGUUGAUGAUUCUCUAUGCUGUCAGGUCGUCACGGUGACAGGUAUAGAUGACAUAUGAUGUUGAUGAUUCUCUAUGAUGUCAGGUCGUCACGGUGACAGGUAUAGAUGACAUAUGAUGUUUAUUAUUCUCUAUGCUGUCAGGUCGUCACGGUGACAGGUAUAGAUGACAUAUGAUGUUUAUGAUUCUCUUUGCUGUCAGGUCGUCACGGUGACAGGUAUAGAUGACAUAUGAUGUGUUUAUAGUUGUGAUGAUGUUUAUGAUUCUCUAUGCUGUCAGGUCGUCACGGUGACAGGUAUAGAUGACAUUUGAUGUGUUUAUAGUUGUGAUGAUGUUUAUGAAUCUCUUUGCUGUCAGGUCGUCACGGUGACAGGUAUAGAUGACAUA
Long non-coding RNA from Oncorhynchus keta (chum salmon), 630 nucleotides. RefSeq lists it as uncharacterized. The record is from RefSeq and is a predicted model, not a curated record. The transcript is spliced from 3 exons. NCBI's taxonomy places the organism in Eukaryota, Metazoa, Chordata, Actinopteri, Salmoniformes, Salmonidae.